UGGCGGCAUGCCUUACACAUGCAAGUCGAACGGCAGCACGGGAGCAAUCCUGGUGGCGAGUGGCGAACGGGUGAGUAAUAUAUCGGAACGUGCCCAGUCGUGGGGGAUAACGCAGCGAAAGCUGUGCUAAUACCGCAUACGAUCUCUGGAUGAAAGCGGGGGACCUGUAAGGGCCUCGCGCGAUUGGAGCGGCCGAUAUCAGAUUAGCUAGUUGGUGGGGUAAAAGCCCACCAAGGCGACGAUCUGUAGCUGGUCUGAGAGGACGACCAGCCACACUGGAACUGAGACACGGUCCAGACUCCUACGGGAGGCAGCAGUGGGGAAUUUUGGACAAUGGGCGAAAGCCUGAUCCAGCAAUGCCGCGUGCAGGAUGAAGGCCUUCGGGCUGUAAACUGCUUUUGUACGGAACGAAACGGUCUCUUCUAAUAAAGGGGGCUAAUGACGGUACUGUAAGAAUAAGCACCGGCUAACUACGUGCCAGCAGCCGCGGUAAUACGUAGGGUGCGAGCGUUAAUCGGAAUUACUGGGCGUAAAGCGUGCGCAGGCGGUUAUAUAAGACAGAUGUGAAAUCCCCGGGCUCAACCUGGGACCUGCAUUUGUGACUGUAUAGCUAGAGUACGGUAGAGGGGGAUGGAAUUCCGCGUGUAGCAGUGAAAUGCGUAGAUAUGCGGAGGAACACCGAUGGCGAAGGCAAUCCCCUGGACCUGUACUGACGCUCAUGCACGAAAGCGUGGGGAGCAAACAGGAUUAGAUACCCUGGUAGUCCACGCCCUAAACGAUGUCAACUGGUUGUUGGGUCUUCACUGACUCAGUAACGAAGCUAACGCGUGAAGUUGACCGCCUGGGGAGUACGGCCGCA
RNAcentral lists this ribosomal RNA (859 nucleotides) under uncultured bacterium. RNAcentral's name for it is "bacterial SSU rRNA". It matches the Rfam family "Bacterial small subunit ribosomal RNA", at positions 37 to 890 of the family's 1533-position model. The record is from RNAcentral.